UUUCCGUAGGUGAACCUGCGGAAGGAUCAUUAAUGAAUAUUAGGGCGCCCUCUUCAUCAGAGGGGUCCAACCUUCAUUCUUCUACACUGUGCACUUAAUAAUUGGCGAGGCCCGGACUUUGUUGACCGGGCUGACCCUACCCUCUUAAACUCUACAAGUCUAAGAAUGUAACAAUCAUAUAACAAAAAAAAACUUUCAACAACGGAUCUCUUGGCUCUCGCAUCGAUGAAGAACGCAGC
This 239-nucleotide unclassified non-coding RNA is filed under the name uncultured fungus. RNAcentral's name for it is "sequence contains ITS1, 5.8S rRNA gene". The stretch from base 191 to 239 matches the Rfam family "5.8S ribosomal RNA", at positions 1 to 49 of the family's 154-position model. The record is from RNAcentral. Lineage: Eukaryota; Fungi.